UGGGGAAUAUUGGACAAUGGGCGCAAGCCUGAUCCAGCCAUGCCGCGUGGGUGAAGAAGGCCUUCGGGUUGUAAAGCCCUUUUGUUGGGAAAGAAAUCCUGUCGGCUAAUACCCGGCGGGGAUGACGGUACCCAAAGAAUAAGCACCGGCUAACUUCGUGCCAGCAGCCGCGGUAAUACGAAGGGUGCAAGCGUUACUCGGAAUUACUGGGCGUAAAGCGUGCGUAGGCGGUUCGUUAAGUCUGUCGUGAAAGCCCUGGGCUCAACCUGGGAAUUGCGAUGGAUACUGGCGACCUAGAGUACGGUAGAGGAUGGUGGAAUUCCCGGUGUAGCGGUGAAAUGCGUAGAGAUCGGGAGGAACACCCGUGGCAAAGGCGGCCAUCUGGACCAGUACUGACGCUGAGGCACGAAAGCGUGGGGAGCAAACA
This 427-nucleotide ribosomal RNA is filed under the name uncultured bacterium. RNAcentral's name for it is "bacterial SSU rRNA". It matches the Rfam family "Bacterial small subunit ribosomal RNA", at positions 355 to 774 of the family's 1533-position model. The record is from RNAcentral.